CACGGGGGGAGCAAGCGUUGUUCGGAAUCACGGGGCGUAAAGGGCGUCUAGGCGUUCAGAUAAGGGGGAUGUGAAAUGCCCCGGCUCACCCGGGGACCGGCAUCCCAAACUGUCUGGCUUGAGUAUGGGAGAGGAUGUGGGAAUUCCUGGUGUAGCGGUGAAAUGCGUAGAGAUCGGAAAGAACACCAACGGCGAAAGCACUCUGCUGGGCCGACACUGACACUGAGAGACGAAAGCUAGGGGAGCGAAUGGG
RNAcentral lists this ribosomal RNA (253 nucleotides) under uncultured bacterium. Its description in RNAcentral is "partial 16S ribosomal RNA". It matches the Rfam family "Bacterial small subunit ribosomal RNA", at positions 524 to 776 of the family's 1533-position model. The record is from RNAcentral.